Lactuca sativa (garden lettuce) is the source of this 625-nucleotide long non-coding RNA. RefSeq lists it as uncharacterized. Lineage: Eukaryota; Viridiplantae; Streptophyta; Magnoliopsida; Asterales; Asteraceae. The record is from RefSeq and is a predicted model, not a curated record.
UCUUUUUAUUUAAUUUAAAUUUGGAUAUAAGUUUGUAACACAUGGGAUUUAUGAUUGCAGCAAACAAUCUUUCUUUUCUUUCUAGACAUGAUUAAAGGCAUGUUUUUGGCUGUAGUUAUUGGACCACCUGUUGUGGUUGCCAUCAUUUUAAUAGUACAGUAAGGAGAGCAUUCUAAACAUUCUGGAAACUUUAAAAGAAGAGGGAAAUAGGGUCUUGUUCAAUGCUUUAGCUGUGUUUGCUCUAAGGUAGAUCAACUUAUCACAAGUAAGUUACUGUUUCACCCUUUUAUUUAAUAUUUUUGUGAUUGAAUGAAAGUCUUAAUGAAAGUAAUUGACAACCUUUCUCUGUAAAUGAUGUUGUGAUUGUGGGAGAGGUGUUGUGUUUUUCUCUGUUGCUAGGUAACCUUCUCAACAACAACAUUCUACUUAAGCAGGUGAGUAAUCAAGAUUAAGGGAGACUUGUAAUCAUGUUUGACAUUCCUUUCCAGUAAGAAAAAGAGUUGUAUGAUUAUUUGUUAGUUUUAUAGGAAUGUAUAACCCAUGUUAGCAAUGUUUUAUUUUUGUUUAACAUUUGAAUGAUUCUUUGUAUGACAUUACAAUUUGUGUAAUUUAUUUUAUUUUUUGA